RNAcentral lists this long non-coding RNA (224 nucleotides) under Setaria italica (foxtail millet). RNAcentral's name for it is "long non-coding RNA (SITA_LNC005160)". The record is from RNAcentral. Lineage: Eukaryota; Viridiplantae; Streptophyta; Magnoliopsida; Poales; Poaceae.
GCAUAAAAAAAAAUCCAAAGCCGGCAUGGACAAGUCAUCGGUGCUAUUUUUUAAUUGACGAGCAUGGAUGAACUGUACCAAAAACUAGAUGAGUGUUCUUCUAGUAUAACGUGGGAGAGCAUACCUUAAGCUCUGCAUUAGUGAGCUUUUCACAUGCUACAGGAGAGCGAUUUCGGCUCACCUGUGUUUGCAAUGGAAGGUUGAGGCUCGCUCAUGUGGGUAAG